Long non-coding RNA from Amphiprion ocellaris (clown anemonefish), 3194 nucleotides. NCBI's taxonomy places the organism in Eukaryota, Metazoa, Chordata, Actinopteri, Pomacentridae. The record is from Ensembl.
AAAAAAGAGCCCACAGUGAAUAAAAAUGUGUCGUGUUCACAUUGGUUUCACAUUUUCAUGUUUUUAUGUUGUUUCCUUUAUUGGGACUAUUGGAGCUAAGUUUAUUAAAUGUAAAUACAUUGCAUGGCUGACUCUAAAUUGUACCAUGUUCUCUCAGGAUCUUCUGGAUCUCAGGAUAUAAGGAAUGUCAUCCCAUUUAGUGGAAAAGGCUUCCUCCUUGGAGGGAACUCUCAGAACGCCACGUCUUCCUCCCCAUCUAACGAAGCACUCGUGCCUGUUGUGAGAGCACCUGUGUCCAGCCCUCUCUCCUCUCCUAAGAAUUUCUUCACCCCUCCAUCUCCUGCUAAAAGUCUCACCUCCCCUAUUCGCUCUGGCCUGGAUGACUCAACCAAUGGGAUCCCCAGCUGCUUUCCCUCAGUCAGAGCAGCUACUUCCACAGGGAAAAAGCCACCCAUAAAGGUGUCUGUCGGUAACACAAGGGUUUUUGUCAACAUUAACGGCUCACCGGUAAGAAUCCCUAAAUCCCACAGCAGUAGCAGCCAAGGAGCAGAUAAAAUCAAACAGAAGUCCAUUGACGACCUCUUCAACAGCACAAGCCUCAGGAAGCCAGUGACUCAGUCCUCCAUCUCCAACACAGAGAGUAAAAGAGACUCACUGAUGUCACCAAAGAGUACCGCAAUUACCAAUUUAACUUCUUCACCUCCUAGAUCUAAGCCUAGUCUCAAUAUUUCCAACCAUUUUAAGUCCCAAUCUGUAGCUUCCACAGGAUCCCAAAGCAGUGCUGCUAAACCCACACAGUCCAAAUAUUUCACUGAUUGUCACAGUAGCAGUACAUCAGGAGCAGCUGGUGAGAGUCAGACAUCGAGGAAGAGGCCGUGGGACAACCGCAGCAGCUCAGCCAGCAUCUUUGACUUCUUCCAGAAGACAUUAGGCAGCGAUUCAGCAGCAUCGAGGGAGUCGAUAAAGACAAAGUCACCUGCAAUGCAGCAAAGAACUGCCACCAUUACAUCCUCCUCCUCUACAUCUCUUCAGUCCGCUGCAGGACUUCACAGUGUCGCCUCCUCUUCCUCAUCCUCCUCCUCCUCUUCCUCUUCCUCUUCUUCCUCUGCACUGAUGGUCAGCUGUCCUGUGUGCCAAGCUAAAGUGCAGGAGUCAAAGAUCAACGAGCAUCUUGAUUCCUGCCUCUCCUGAAUGAGAAUGAUGAGGGGAUGUUGCAAAUAAACCAACUUCCAAACAGGAGAAGUUUCAGGGAGUUUGCUGUGAUGCAUUUUUUGGUUCAUCCUCAUGUUGCACCAAAAGUUCUUAACUGUGAGAUUUUAAAUAGUUUGGAUUUUAGGCGGAGGCCUCCCUAGUUUUACCAACAGAUUGGUUAUUUUUCAUAAUUGUUAUUUUACUGUAAUAGUGAUAGUUCUUUUUUCUACAGUGCCUGCUCAACAGCUUGUGCCUUCGUAUAUCAGAACAGAAGGGUUUUAUAGAUAAUGUAGCUGAAACUGAAUUUUACUUGGGUUAAUAAGGUCAUUCCCACCAGAUGUUAACAACAAUGAUGGUUGCUUCUACAUACAAAUCUUGAAUAUUUACAUACUGAUUAAGCAUUUCACUGCAUGGCCUAUUACACCAGCCUGAGCUGCGUUAGUAAGUUGUAUUGACAGUACUGCACUUGAAACAGUAUUUAUUUCAGAAUUGAUCAGUGUGAUGUGAAAACAGAUCAGUCAUGGUUUAAAUGAAGAAGCGGCUAUGUUGUAUGUGGGUUGAGUCUUGGCUCCUGUAAUCUGAUGUAUCCUCCAUCUCAGAUCUGCAUCUGCUGCCCUUCAGACAGCAGAAGACACCGAAUGAUCUCUGCUGAUCUGCAGGGAAUCAGAUUUCACACUUGCUAGCAAUUUAUUUCUGCACGUCGUCACAUUUACUCUGCACCCAGCUGCAAGGUCAGCCAGUGCAGGGUAUUUGAUCAUACCUUAAUACAGUGAUGUUACCAAUGUAAUUCACAAGUCAUAUCACAGUAGUAGAAUAAAGGAGAGUUUGUAUGCAUUUUUAUGGUUAUUUUCUGCUGAAAUAUUUGAGCUGUCUGUAUGUCCCUUUAUGUAUAUGUUGUCAAGGAGAUUACAGAUUCUGUUCAAGUUUGCAUUGCUAAAUAAAACAUUAAUAUUAUUCUGAAUAUUUUGUAUGGAGUGGAAUUAAUCUCUGGGUCUAACAUUCAUUAUGUCUGAUUAAAAUUCAAGCCAUAAAAUACAUGACUUAAUGUAUCACUUAAUGAAUAUGCAGGUCAAUAAAUAAAAAAUAUUUACAAAAAAUAGCAAAAUGUGACAUCAGAGUUAACAAACAUGAACAGCAGUUAAAUGGGAAAAAAAUGAAUACAGUCAAAUAGUGCAAUGCAUCUUUAGUCUGGGGCUACACUGUGGUUCGGUGAUUAGCACCGUUGCCUUGCAGCUGGAAGAUCCCCGAUUUGCGUUCUGCCCUGGGCCUGGGAUCGUUCUGUGUGGAGUUUGCAUGUUCUCUCUGUGCAUGCAUGGGUUUUCUCCAGGUUCUCCAGCUUCCUCCCACAGUCCAAAACAUGCUGAGGUUAAUUGGUAACUCUAAAUUGUAAGUGUGAAUGUGAGCAUGAUUGUUUGUCUCUAUGUGUAGCCCUGUGAUAGACUGGUGACCUGCCCAGGGUGUCUCCUGCCUUCACCCUAAGUCAGCUGAGAUAGACUCCAGCCCCCCCACGACUCUAAUGAGGAUUGAGCUAUGUAUAGAUGAUGGAUGGAUGGAUGGAUGUUUAGUCUGCAGUAAUUCCUGAUGCUGUAAUUCGAUGUAGAGGUUUUUUAGGUGAAUAUCUGUGGUGAAUUUCAUGGUUAUUCCUUCCACAGUUGUGAAGAUUAUUCUAUUACUCUGUCUCAUGUUAAGGCAUAGUAAAAAAUUAUUAUAUGGUAUGUGCAUAGGGCUGCACAGUGGCGUAGUGGUUAGCACUUUCGCCUUGCAGCAAGAAGAUCCCUGGUUCGCGUCCCGGCUUUCCUGGGAUCUUUCUGCAUGGAGUUUGCAUGUUCUCCCUGUGCAUGCGUGGGUUCUCUCCGGGUACUCCGGCUUCCUCCCACAGUCCAAAAAUAUGCUGAGGUUAAUUGAUUAUUCUAAAUUGCCUGUAGGUGUGAAUGUGAGAGUGCUUGUUUGUCUUUGUAUGUGGCCCUGCGACAGACUGGCGACCUGUCCAGGGUGUCCCCUGC